RNAcentral lists this ribosomal RNA (253 nucleotides) under uncultured bacterium. RNAcentral's name for it is "partial 16S ribosomal RNA". It matches the Rfam family "Bacterial small subunit ribosomal RNA", at positions 524 to 776 of the family's 1533-position model. The record is from RNAcentral.
UACGUAGGGUGCGAGCGUUACUCGGAAUUACUGGGCGUAAAGCGUGCGCAGGCGGUUUUGUAAGUCAGAUGUGAAAUCCCCGGGCUUAACCUGGGAAUGGCCGUUGAAACUGGCGAACUGGAGUGUGGCAGAGGGGGGUGGAAUUCCGCGUGUAGCAGUGAAAUGCGUAGAGAUGCGGAGGAACACCGAUGGCGAAGGCAGCCCCCUGGGCUAACACUGACGCUCAGGCACGAAAGCGUGGGGAGCAAACAGG